ACCUGGGUGGCUCAGUCGGUUGAGCAUCUGACUUCGGCUCAGGUCAUGAUUUCACUGUUCGUGGGUUUGAACCCUGCAUCAGGCU
Molecule: transfer RNA, 85 nt
Organism: Felis catus (domestic cat)
Lineage: Eukaryota; Metazoa; Chordata; Mammalia; Carnivora; Felidae
Rfam family: tRNA
About the family: Transfer RNA (tRNA) molecules are approximately 80 nucleotides in length. Their secondary structure includes four short double-helical elements and three loops (D, anti-codon, and T loops).
Source: Rfam